GUAGGUGAACCUGCGGAAGGAUCAUUAGUGAAUUGAAUAUGUUAGCGGACCUCUUCGGAGUCCCUAGCAUCAAAUCGUAUCCAUAACACCUGUGAACUGUAAGGCUGUCUUGAAAACGAAAGUGAUUAGAGCGCCUGCCCAUUUUAUACAAACAUUAAAGUAACAAACGUAGUCUUAUUAUAAUCUAAUAAAACUUUCAACAACGGAUCUCUUGGCUCUC
RNAcentral lists this unclassified non-coding RNA (220 nucleotides) under plant metagenome. RNAcentral describes it as "partial contains small subunit ribosomal RNA, internal transcribed spacer 1, and 5.8S ribosomal RNA". The record is from RNAcentral.